UAAAAGGGAAUUUUAAAAAGCCUUCUUAUGAAAGUUGUCAAGUUGAAAUAUGUUUAUAUGAAUAUUUUUCAGGUGGAAGUGAAUCCUCCUGGGAUAAAGAUAAGAUGCAGUCUCCAUUUGCUGCACCUGGACCCCAACAUGGAAUUGCUCAUGCAGCCCUAGCUGGCCAGCCAGGCAUUGGGGGUGCUCCAACCCUCAAUCCACUGCAGCAGAACCACCUGCUAACCAACAGACUGGAUCUGCCAUUUAUGAUGAUGCCUCAUCCCCUACUUCCAGUCAGCUUACCUCCUGCAUCAGUUGCCAUGGCAAUGAAUCAGAUGAACCAUCUCAAUACUAUUGCCAACAUGGCUGCUGCAGCACAGAUUCACAGUCCACUCUCCAGAGCUGGUACCUCUGUUAUAAAGGUAAGAAUCGUGAUUUAGAAAAGGACAAAGGUGUCAAUUUCAUGCAAAUUUUGUUAAAAUAUUUACAAUCCCACUGGAUCUUCAGUAGUAACUCAGCUCAUUGACUCAGUUAGUUAGCAUACAGUAUUGAUGGGUUUAGUUUGUGACUAGGCCUGCCAGAUUUUUUGUUGUUUGUUUGUUUUCAUUCCAUGACCACAGAUCUCACUUUUAAUUCUAUUUCCUGUGUUGCAAUCAUGUGCACAGUGUGGGGGAGGCAUGGGCAGACUAAUGACAGAGUAGAAGAGUGUGCAAAAACCAUUCCCAUAGCUGGGGUGAAACAAAGUAAACACUGUGCAUCUUUUUGGAGUUUGAGAGACAGUUAUGAGGUAUGAUAUAACAUACAGGACUUAUAGUCAGACAGAUUUGGGUUCCAAUUCUGAUUUGCAACUUAGCUGAAUGAACUUGGGUAUGACAGCCCUCCUGAACAUGUUUCCUCAACUAUAAAAUGAAGGUCAUAGUUAAUAAUCUAUGCUGCUUAUUUCAUGGGCUGUCUGGAGAUAAUAUGAGUAAAAUAUAUGUAAAAACCUGUAAAACAUUAACAAUAUUUAUGAUAAUAUAUUGCAUUAACAUUAUAAUGUUAGAAUACUAUUUUUCAAGUUUAUGGGCAUUGGAUAAUGAAACACAAAGGAUAUUUCGUAGCUACCCCUUCUUUUUCCUCUUAGUUUGGCAUAUGGCUUUUCUGCUCUCUUUCCAAUUAUCAUAUGAACUAUGCUUUUGAAUGCUUUUUCUUCUUGUGAGGAGGUGAUAUAUGGGUACAUAGGAUCCCAAGAUUUUAGUCAGAAACCCAUUGAUUUCCUCCUUUAUUCCUUCACUUACUCAACAAAUAUUAUACCCUUAAUAAUUACAUGCCAGGUUAUUGAGCAAUAUGGGAAAUUUAUAAGUAAGAUAUACACCUUGACUUCCAGGAGCUCCCAAACAUAAAUGUGAGACAAACAAGUACCCACUUAAUUUGUACUAACAAGACAGACUAUGAUGGAUAACAUAGGAGAACCACCAAGUAUUACAGGAAUUUAGAGGAAGGAGUGAUUUUAUCUACCUUUAAGAAGAGAGGAGGCGGGGAUCUGGGAAGGCUUUAUAGUUGAUGGAUUUCAACUGAGCCUUGCAAUAUUGAUAUGAUUGUAAUAGAAAGGCAUGGAGGUGAAAGAACUGAAGGCAGAGGAAAUGUGACAUUUUGGACAUAUUUGUUUCAUUUUAAAAUCAGCUUGUAAUUUUGGAGCCUUCUAAAGCACUGAAGAAAAUUUAAAGCAUAACCUUUGUAAGAAAGGAACAGAAAAAUUGAUCAUUUUUAUAAAGCUUCAUCUAUAUAUUUAAAACACCAAGUGGAAGCAUGCUUCCUGGAAAGACUGGUUACAGACUUCACCGCUACACAAAUUCCCUGGCAACAAAACUGCACUGGUAUCCCUGAAUCAAUAAAAAAA
This is a long non-coding RNA of Pan troglodytes (chimpanzee), 1861 nucleotides long. The record is from Ensembl. NCBI's taxonomy places the organism in Eukaryota, Metazoa, Chordata, Mammalia, Primates, Hominidae.